ACACACUUGCAGAACAAAGGUGAAGGUGGUUCAUCUAAUUCUAUACUUCAUGCUGCCUUUCCUUAACAGAGAAAAUGUGUUGCCUUUAUUUAACAGAAAAGAAGUGAAGGACCCAAAGCGUGUGUCACCAAGAGCUUCAACUGAGGAAUGGUGUGAAGGCAAGGAGCAAGUAAACCAUUGGAAUUUGUUUUACGAUUCAGUAAUAUUCCUGCAAUCUAAAGUCUAUAUGUAAGCUUAUAUUUGACAUAAGUAACUGAUAUCUUUAUUUUUAGGCCCUACACUGUCAUGAAAAAAGAAAGUAUUUGUUUGAACAUUUAGAAGCACAUUACUAAUACAAGUAAGAGGUUGUUAUAAUUAGAUUUAGUUACUAACUUUCUUUACCCUACGAUAGUCUCUUUGUCACCCUAUGAUCAACUCUAUUUUUAACAAUCAGUCUCUUUGUCAAACAGGUGUUAAGAAGCUUCACAUUAAUGGCAUUGACAACUUCCUGAUUGCAAAGAGCAAGAACAACUUGCAAAUGUUGAAUAUGUUGGUUUGAUUAAUUAUGCAGGCGAGACUGCAGUUCGUUAAUCUUUUUUCUCACGCUGGAGAUAACUAAGAAGGUUCCAAAGAGGAGUACAAAAUUAAAUCAGAAACUGGCAAAGAAAUAUGAAAAUGACUGAGGAUCAAGAGGCUCAAGAAGAAGCCGAUCAAGAUAAGGAGGAAAAGGAUGAUGCCCAUGACUAAUAUGGAGGAAUGUGUUAAAUGGUUAGAACAUGGAGAAGACUGUAAAAGUACUUGGGCUCUCUCCCUCUGUGAACUAGAGAACUUCAUUUUUUUACUAUUAGUUGUUGGUUCAGUUAGAAAGCAAUUGAUAAUUGUUAUACGACUUGAACGAAGUUAUACUACCCGCAGCAAA
Rosa rugosa (rugosa rose) is the source of this 898-nucleotide long non-coding RNA. RefSeq lists it as uncharacterized. NCBI's taxonomy places the organism in Eukaryota, Viridiplantae, Streptophyta, Magnoliopsida, Rosales, Rosaceae. The record is from RefSeq and is a predicted model, not a curated record. The transcript has 3 exons.